This is a long non-coding RNA of Esox lucius (northern pike), 1587 nucleotides long. NCBI's taxonomy places the organism in Eukaryota, Metazoa, Chordata, Actinopteri, Esociformes, Esocidae. The record is from Ensembl.
CUUUUAAAGCUUUGUGGUUUAAACUGGUCUUUAUGAGAAUGAGAAGGUUUUAAUUUAAUAAGCAGCUUAUUGCUUGGUUACUCUGGAGGUUUGUUUUGUUUAUGAUUUACUUUUCUAUUUUAUUUACAAUGAUUGAUUGUGUCGUUAUAGUAGGUAAUCAUGGGAGGGAGGAUGGGGUAUUUAUUAGGUAUAACGCUGAUAGGCAGAAAGUAAGGGUUAGGACAGUGCAGACAGGUUGGUCUUGUAGUAUUGUAUCAAGGAUAGAGCCAGACAGAUUGACAGAGGUCAAACCUACAUCUUGUAACCUUAAGAUGGAGGCUACAUGUCACUCACACUACAGCCCACAGCAUUUCCACUAGCCCAGUUCACCCUCUGCUCAGGGUCUAAGAACUGAAACUAAAUAAUUCCUGACCAACGACCAUGCAGGGUUAACCAACCAGGCAAGGUAAUGGUGUGCACAGACUGAUAACAUGGUAGUUUGUAAUCACAGACUGAUCACACACUGAUAACAUGAUCGUGAAGUAAUAUAGUAGCAUGUGAUCACACACACUUGUAACAUGAUAGUGCAGGAAUGUGAUAACAUGUAAUCACAUAUUGAUCACAUGAUAGGGUGGUAAUGUGAUCAUGUGUAAUCACAGAAUGAGAAAAUGACAGUGAGGUAAUUUGAUAAUGUAUGUUCACAGACGUAUAACAUGACAAUCUUAUUACUUCAUAAUAUAGUGGUAUAGUGGUAUAAUACCAGUGGUAACAUGAUAAUACUGUGUGUGAUCGCAGACUGAUGAUAUUACUGUGUGGUAAUAUGAUAAUACCAUGUGUGAUUAUAGACUGAUAACAUGACAGUGUGGUAAUGUAAUAAUACCAUGUGGGAUCAUAGGCUGAUAACAUGACAGUGUGGUAAUGUAAUAAUACCAUGUGGGAUCAUAGACUGAUAACAUGACAGUGUGGUAAUGUAAUAAUACCAUGUGGGAUCAUAGACUGAUAACAUGACAGUGAGGUAAAGGGAUAAUACCAUGUGUGAUCACAGACUGAUAACAUGACAGUGUGGUAAUGUAAUAAUACCAUGUGGGAUCAUAGACUGAUAACAUGACAGUGAGGUAAAGGGAUAAUACCAUGUGUGAUCACAGACUGAUAACAUGACAGUGAGGUAAAGGGAUAAUACCAUGUGUGAUCACAGACUGAUAACAUGACAGUGUGGUAAUGUGAAAAUACCAUGUGUGAUCAUAGACUGAUUAUAACAUGUCCUAGCAUGUAUACCUCACCCUGUACCACUGAACUUGUCUUUUACUUAGUGAUUAGCUCAGGGGCUGUAGCUAAAAUGGCAUCCUAUUAUCUAUGUAGUACCCACUUUCCAUCCACGAGGGAUCUCAUCUAGUAGUGUGCUAUGUAAGUGGUAGGGUGCCAUUUGGGAUGCAGAGGUUUGUCUGUGCGUUUUCUCUGGUUGGCUGCUGGCAGCUACUCCAGACCCUGAACCAUCCAGACUGUUACGUCCUUCUUUAUUAUUACUGGACUUGUUAUGAAAUGUCUGCUUGUCUGGAGAGAGAAAAGAAAAUCAGAAAAUGAUUUUUUGUGACUAGACUUACAACAUGC